Molecule: ribosomal RNA, 253 nt
Filed under: uncultured bacterium
Lineage: Bacteria
Description: partial 16S ribosomal RNA
Rfam family: Bacterial small subunit ribosomal RNA
Source: RNAcentral
UACAGAGGGUGCGAGCGUUAAUCGGAAUUACUGGGCGUAAAGCGCGCGUAGGCGGCUUUGCAAGUCGGGUGUGAAAUCCCCAGGCUCAACCUGGGAACUGCGUCUGAUACUGGAUGGCUUGAAUUCGGGAGAGGGAUGCAGAAUUCCAGGUGUAGCGGUGAAAUGCGUAGAUAUCGGAAGGAACACCAGUGGCGAAGGCGGCUUCCUGGACUAAUACUGACGCUGAGGUGCGAAAGCGUGGGGAGCAAACAGG